This is a non-coding RNA of Oryza glumipatula, 178 nucleotides long. The record is from Rfam. NCBI's taxonomy places the organism in Eukaryota, Viridiplantae, Streptophyta, Magnoliopsida, Poales, Poaceae.
UUUAACUGCAACUAUAAGUUUCUGCGCCCAACUUUAAUCGUCUAUCUUAUUUAUUUAUUUUUAUAAUUAUGAGUUGAUAAAACAUGAAUAAUACUUUAUACGUAACUUAUGUUUUUAAAUUUUUUCAAAUAAGACGGACAGUUAAAGUUGUGCACGGAAAAUUAUGGCUGCAAUUAAA